This 74-nucleotide small RNA is filed under the name Xanthomonas floridensis. Its description in RNAcentral is "sX9 sRNA". It matches the Rfam family "Xanthomonas sRNA sX9". The record is from RNAcentral. Lineage: Bacteria; Pseudomonadati; Pseudomonadota; Gammaproteobacteria; Lysobacterales; Lysobacteraceae.
AUACCGCUCGUCCACUCCGGUUCUGCGCGCGCCGCCACACCCAGCUGACGAUUGCUCGCUCGGUUCUCUUGGCC